AAACUUAGGAUAAAUAGACCAAGAGCCUUCAAAGCCCUAAGUAGAAGUUAAAUUCUUCUAGUUUC
RNAcentral lists this transfer RNA (65 nucleotides) under Paradoxophyla palmata (web-foot frog). RNAcentral's name for it is "tRNA-Trp". It matches the Rfam family "tRNA". From Rfam's summary of the family: Transfer RNA (tRNA) molecules are approximately 80 nucleotides in length. Their secondary structure includes four short double-helical elements and three loops (D, anti-codon, and T loops). The record is from RNAcentral. Lineage: Eukaryota; Metazoa; Chordata; Amphibia; Anura; Microhylidae.